This 530-nucleotide ribosomal RNA is filed under the name uncultured Glomus. RNAcentral's name for it is "SSU rRNA". It matches the Rfam family "Eukaryotic small subunit ribosomal RNA", at positions 560 to 1092 of the family's 1831-position model. Lineage: Eukaryota; Fungi; Glomeromycota; Glomeromycetes; Glomerales; Glomeraceae. The record is from RNAcentral.
UCUGGUGUCCAGCAGCCGCGGUAAUUCCAGCUCCAAUAGCGUAUAUUAAAGUGUUGCAGUUAAAAGCUCGUAGUUGAAUUUCGAGACCGGCUUACUGGUCGUGCUUUUGUGCGUUACUGGUAUAAUCGGUUUCUCCUUUCUGACGAACUUUAAUGCCAUUAAUUUGGUGUUUUAGGGAAUCAGGACUGUUACUUUGAAAAAUUAGAGUGUUUAAAGCAGGCUCACGCUUGAAUACAUUAGCAUGGAAUAACGGAAUAGGACGUUUGAUUCUAUUUUGUUGGUUUCUAGGGAUCGACGUAAUGAUUAAUAGGGAUAGUUGGGGGCAUUAGUAUUCAAUUGUCAGAGGUGAAAUUCUUGGAUUUAUUGAGGACUAACUACUGCGAAAGCAUUUGCCAAGGAUGUUUUCAUUAAUCAAGAACGAAAGUUAGGGGAUCGAAGACGAUCAGAUACCGUCGUAGUCUUAACCAUAAACUAUGCCGACUAGGGAUCGGAUGAUGUUAAUUUUUUAAUGACUCAUUCGGCGCCUUACG